This is a long non-coding RNA of Camelus dromedarius (Arabian camel), 218 nucleotides long. RefSeq lists it as uncharacterized. The transcript is spliced from 3 exons. Lineage: Eukaryota; Metazoa; Chordata; Mammalia; Artiodactyla; Camelidae. The record is from RefSeq and is a predicted model, not a curated record.
GAUGAUACCCAGGAAGUCAUUAUCACCGUAGCCAGACAGGCCUGAUUUGGAAGCCUGAAGCCACUGUUUUGAAGAGAGAACCAGUUUCAGGAAUGAAACAGUAGCUGGAUUCCAUGUCUUUGGGAAGAAGCUGAUGCAAGAGUAAUACACUCUUAGCUCACAUUCCAGUGACCACGAGGGGUAAAGAGCACUAUGGCCCAACUAACACUCAAUACCAG